Molecule: ribosomal RNA, 400 nt
Filed under: uncultured bacterium
Lineage: Bacteria
Description: bacterial SSU rRNA
Rfam family: Bacterial small subunit ribosomal RNA
Source: RNAcentral
UGGGGAAUAUUGCACAAUGGGCGCAAGCCUGAUGCAGCAACGCCGCGUGAGUGAUGAAGGCCUUCGGGUCGUAAAACUCUGUCCUAAGGGAAGAAUAAUGACGGUACCUUAGGAGGAAGCCCCGGCAAACUACGUGCCAGCAGCCGCGGUAAUACGUAGGGGGCAAGCAUUAUCCGGAAUCACUGGGCGUAAAGGGUGCGUAGGCGGCUUGACAAGCCAGGGGUGAAAGGCAUUGGCUCAACCAAUGUAAGCCUUUGGAACUGUCGAGCUUGAGUGUAGGAGAGGUAAGUGGAAUUCCUAGUGUAGCGGUGAAAUGCGUAGAUAUUAGGAGGAACACCAGUGGCGAAGGCGACUUACUGGACUAUAACUGACGCUGAGGCACGAAAGCGUGGGGAGCAAA